GAUGAACGCUGGCGGCGUGCCUAAUACAUGCAAGUCGAGCGAACGGACGAGAAGCUUGCUUUUCUGAUGUUAGCGGCGGACGGGUGAGUAACACGUGGAUAACCUACCUAUAAGACUGGGAUAACUUCGGGAAACCGGCGCUAAUCCCGGAUAAUCUUUUGAACCGCAUGGUUCAAAAGUGAAAGACGGUCUUGCUGUCACUUAUAGAUGGAUCCGCGCUGCAUUAGCUAGUUGGUAAGGUAACGGCUUACCAAGGCAACGAUGCAUAGCCGACCUGAGAGGGUGAUCGGCCACACUGGAACUGAGACACGGUCCAGACUCCUACGGGAGGCAGCAGUAGGGAAUCUUCCGCAAAGGGCGAAAGCCUGACGGAGCAACGCCGCGUGAGUGAUGAAGGUCUUCGGAUCGUAAAACUCUGUUAUUAGGGAAGAACAUAUGUGUAAGUAACUGUGCACAUCUUGACGGUACCUAAUCAGAAAGCCACGGCUAACUACGUG
RNAcentral lists this ribosomal RNA (497 nucleotides) under uncultured bacterium. Its description in RNAcentral is "partial 16S ribosomal RNA". It matches the Rfam family "Bacterial small subunit ribosomal RNA", at positions 28 to 507 of the family's 1533-position model. The record is from RNAcentral.